CUUUACACAUGCAAGUCGAACGGCAGCAUAGAGAGCUUGCUCUCUGAUGGCGAGUGGCGAACGGGUGAGUAAUAUAUCGGAACGUACCUAGUAAUGGGGAACAACUAGCCGAAAGGUUAGCUAAUACCGCAUACGACCUACGGGUGAAAGCAGGGGAUCUUCGGACCUUGCGUUAUUAGAGCGGCCGAUAUCUGAUUAGGUAGUUGGUGGGGUAAAAGCCUACCAAGCCAACGAUCAGUAGCUGGUCUGAGAGGACGAUCAGCCACACUGGAACUGAGACACGGUCCAGACUCCUACGGGAGGCAGCAGUGGGGAAUUUUGGACAAUGGGGGCAACCCUGAUCCAGCCAUUCCGCGUGAGUGAAGAAGGCCUUCGGGUUGUAAAGCUCUUUCACAAGAGAAGAAAUCUUACUAUCAAAUAAAUAGUAAGGAUGACGGUAUCUUGAGAAGAAGCACCGGCUAACUACGUGCCAGCAGCCGCGGUAAUACGUAGGGUGCGAGCGUUAAUCGGAAUUACUGGGCGUAAAGCGUGCGCAGGCGGUUUUAUAAGUCAGAUGUGAAAUCCCCGAGCUCAACUUGGGAACUGCGUUUGAAACUGUAAGACUAGAGUGUGUCAGAGGGGGGUAGAAUUCCAUGUGUAGCAGUGAAAUGCGUAGAUAUAUGGAGGAAUACCAAUGGCGAAGGCAGCCCCCUGGGAUAACACUGACGCUCAUGCACGAAAGCGUGGGGAGCAAACAGGAUUAGAUACCCUGGUAGUCCACGCCCUAAACGAUGUCUACUAGUUGUUGGUGGAGUAAAAUCCAUGAGUAACGCAGCUAACGCGUGAAGUAGACCGCCUGGGGAGUACGGUCG
RNAcentral lists this ribosomal RNA (851 nucleotides) under uncultured Methylophilaceae bacterium. RNAcentral's name for it is "bacterial SSU rRNA". It matches the Rfam family "Bacterial small subunit ribosomal RNA", at positions 47 to 888 of the family's 1533-position model. Lineage: Bacteria; Pseudomonadati; Pseudomonadota; Betaproteobacteria; Nitrosomonadales; Methylophilaceae. The record is from RNAcentral.